This 253-nucleotide ribosomal RNA is filed under the name uncultured bacterium. Its description in RNAcentral is "partial 16S ribosomal RNA". It matches the Rfam family "Bacterial small subunit ribosomal RNA", at positions 524 to 776 of the family's 1533-position model. The record is from RNAcentral.
UACGUAGGGGGCAAGCGUUGUCCGGAAUCAUUGGGCGUAAAGAGCGUGUAGGCGGCCAGAAAAGUCCGCUGUGAAAACUCGAGGCUCAACUUCGAGCUGUCGGUGGAAACUUUCUGGCUAGAGUCCGGAAGAGGAGAAUGGAAUUCCUGGUGUAGCGGUGAAAUGCGUAGAGAUCUGGAGGAACACCGAUGGCGAAGGCAGCCUUCUGGGCCAACACUGACGCUCAUGCACGAAAGCGUGGGGAGCAAACAGG